RNAcentral lists this ribosomal RNA (119 nucleotides) under Neolamprologus brichardi. The record is from RNAcentral. Lineage: Eukaryota; Metazoa; Chordata; Actinopteri; Cichliformes; Cichlidae.
GCUUACGGCCAUACCACCCUGAACACGCCCGAUCUCGUCUGAUCUCGGAAGUUAAGCAGGGUCGGGCCUGGUCAGUACUUGGAUGGGAGACCGCCUGGGAAUACCAGGUGCUGUAAGCU